Dreissena polymorpha is the source of this 309-nucleotide long non-coding RNA. RefSeq lists it as uncharacterized. The record is from RefSeq and is a predicted model, not a curated record. NCBI's taxonomy places the organism in Eukaryota, Metazoa, Mollusca, Bivalvia, Myida, Dreissenidae. The transcript has 3 exons.
ACCCGAGUGGUUUUUAACCCUAUUUUACUUAUGUGUAACCUAUUUCUUGUGGUCAGUUCUCUUACUAUUGGGAAUGGUUUUGUCAGUCUUUGGAGGGAAACUGUUGGACAAAGACAGCGGUUUUCUUCGUGUAAUAUUUUGAGUAAUACAUGGUUAAUUAGGACUUCUACUGCAGUCACAGAAAGCGUGGGAAGAAGGAGCAAGGGAGUGAACUCCAUUCAGUUCCACAAAUUGAUCGGAGCCUUGACGUUUGAUGCUCUUGAGUUAUAUGUGAAUCAAAUAUUCUAAUUAUAUGGAAAUGUAAAACUA